GUGUCAGCCGCCGCGGUAAUACGUAGGUGGCAAGCGUUAUCCGGAAUUAUUGGGCGUAAAGCGCGCGUAGGCGGUUUUUUAAGUCUGAUGUGAAAGCCCACGGCUCAACCGUGGAGGGUCAUUGGAGACUGGAAAACUUGAGUGCAGAAGAGGAAAGUGGAAUUCCAUGUGUAGCGGUGAAAUGCGCAGAGAUAUGGAGGAACACCAGUGGCGAAGGCGACUUUCUGGUCUGUAACUGACGCUGAUGGGCGAAAGCGUGGGGAUCAAACAGGAUUAGAAACCCUCGUAGUCC
This 292-nucleotide ribosomal RNA is filed under the name uncultured Staphylococcus sp. RNAcentral's name for it is "partial 16S ribosomal RNA". It matches the Rfam family "Bacterial small subunit ribosomal RNA", at positions 505 to 796 of the family's 1533-position model. The record is from RNAcentral. Lineage: Bacteria; Bacillati; Bacillota; Bacilli; Caryophanales; Staphylococcaceae.